UUCAGUACUGUGCAAAAGUUUUAGGCAGGUGUGAAAAAAUGCUGUAAACUAAGAAUGCUUUCAAAAAUAUAAAUAAUGAUUGUUUAUUUUUAUCAAUUUACAAAAUGCAAAGUGAGCGAACAAAAGAAAAAUCAAAAUCACAUCAAUAUUUGGUGUUACUACCCUUUGCCUUCAAACCAGCAUCAAUUCUUAUAGGUACACUUGCAAAAAGUCAGGGAUUUUGUAGGAUUGUAGUCAGGUGUAUGAUCAACCAAUUAUACCAAACAGG
This is a long non-coding RNA of Labrus mixtus (cuckoo wrasse), 268 nucleotides long. RefSeq lists it as uncharacterized. Lineage: Eukaryota; Metazoa; Chordata; Actinopteri; Labriformes; Labridae. The transcript is spliced from 2 exons. The record is from RefSeq and is a predicted model, not a curated record.